UCAGAACGCAGAGAUUAUCAUUUAUCAUGCUGAGAUUUGGGCAGCACAUCAUCAAGCCCUCCGUGGUCUUCCUGAAGACUGAGCUCUCCUUUGCUCUUGUGAAUCGCAAGCCGGUGGUCCCAGGCCGUAUCCUUUUGAGCAGUGCCUUGGCCAUGGGUGCCUGUGUUCUGUGGAGAAGCUGAGGAAGGUUGGCAUGCUCUGAAGGCCAGUUAGAACUCUGGUGCUACGUAACUUGUGCUGAUUUCAGUGGCUGGAGGUUGAACUUCUCAGAAAUAUUCAAGACUGAUCAUUUCCACAGAGGUUUAUGGUAAAAUUUUAGUAGGAACUGUUAAGAAAUGGCUGAAUGCAUGUUGGGGGGAAAAAAAAAGCCUGGAGUUCAUUGAAAGCUUUUCUGUACUUUUCUGUUGUUUCUCAUAAUUUAAUAUAUAAUUUUAAAUUUAGUAGCUUUUAAUAUAAUUGUAUACCUAUAAAAGUAUUUUAUUCCUCUGAAAUUUUGAAUGUCCCUCUCUUCUCAUUACUUCUGUAUAUUAUAACUGUUCAAUGUAGAACUUCUUGGUGUACCUGUUUUGAAUGUUUCUAUUCAUUCCAGAUAUCAGAUCAUUUGGUUAUUAAUGUAUGACAAAUAUGCACAGACUUUAUAGAAAAUAAACACGUUACCAUCAAUGUGUUUCAAUGAAUUAAACUAAUUAUUUUUCUCCAGUAAAAGUUUCUAAGCUAUCUGGUGUAAAUUGAUGUGGUGUACAGAGCCGUCGUGCUUUUAGGCAAAAAAUGGCAAAAUAUGUUCAAAGAUAUCUAAAGACACUAUCCCAUUCGUCAUUGUGAGUUGAGGAGCUUGUAAAUUCUUGACCAGUAUGUAGGUUUACGCAUUGUGGAGGUAAAUAAGUAAAUUAGAGUAAAAGAGAGUAAAUAAAAUGUUUUCUGUACUGUAUGUGGAAGUUUUAAAAACAGUAGUUCUAUUGUUAUAGUUAUAUGCAAUAGUUAUAUUUUAUUAUUAUAUUGCUAUUAUAUAUGUAUAGUUAUAUACAAUAGUUACAUUGUAUGUACAUAGUUCUAAAACCAUAGUUCAAUUCUGUUGGUUAGUUAAGUGAACAAUCGCAUCUGUUAUUAAACAAUGAAGAGGUAUUUCAGAUGAAAGAGUUGUUUUAAAGUUUUGUUAGCAUCGAGAAGUGACAGUUUAAGGAGCCUAUAAAACUUAAUUAUUACAAGUUUCUUUCCUUCUUAAAUAAUUAAAGAUUAUAAACUCUAGUUGCAUAGUUAUUGCUGACUGUUUGGCAGAUACAUUUAUUUGCUCAGGUUUAGCUUUGUUAUCCAUGUAAUGAGUAUUGCAGCAUAUUUUAUAGUGUCACAUUGUUUUAAUAGCUCAUGUGUUGUAAUAUAUAAUAUAGUCUUUGUUUCUCUGUUGAAUAAAUGUUCAGGUAAUAAAACUCCAA
Non-coding RNA from Anas platyrhynchos (mallard), 1430 nucleotides. The record is from RefSeq and is a predicted model, not a curated record. Lineage: Eukaryota; Metazoa; Chordata; Aves; Anseriformes; Anatidae.